GUGUCAGCAGCCGCGGUAAUACGAAGGGUGCAAGCGUUACUCGGAAUUACUGGGCGUAAAGCGUGCGUAGGUGGUUUGUUAAGUCUGUUGUGAAAGCCCCGGGCUCAACCUGGGAAUGGCAAUGGAUACUGGCAAGCUAGAGUGCGGUAGAGGGUAGUGGAAUUCCCGGUGUAGCGGUGAAAUGCGUAGAGAUCGGGAGGAACACCAGUGGCGAAGGCGGCUACCUGGACCAGCACUGACACUGAGGCACGAAAGCGUGGGGAGCAAACAGGAUUAGAUACCCUAGUAGUCC
This 292-nucleotide ribosomal RNA is filed under the name uncultured bacterium. RNAcentral's name for it is "partial 16S ribosomal RNA". It matches the Rfam family "Bacterial small subunit ribosomal RNA", at positions 505 to 796 of the family's 1533-position model. The record is from RNAcentral.